This is a long non-coding RNA of Pelmatolapia mariae (spotted tilapia), 211 nucleotides long. RefSeq lists it as uncharacterized. The transcript has 3 exons. NCBI's taxonomy places the organism in Eukaryota, Metazoa, Chordata, Actinopteri, Cichliformes, Cichlidae. The record is from RefSeq and is a predicted model, not a curated record.
GACACAUAAGCUCCAACACUUUUGCACUGAACCAAACACAAAUCUCUGUGGGUCGACAUGUUACAAUCCAAAGACGCAUCGUUGCUGUGAGAGACACCAAAAGCCUUUUUGGUUCUGCGCCUCAGGUCAAAGCAAGGCCAGGGUGUAUGACCCACGUAUAGAAGUCUGCUUUAGUGGAUCCGUAUUUCGAUGCAAGCCGUGGAUAGAUCAA